Molecule: ribosomal RNA, 163 nt
Filed under: Brachypodium stacei
Lineage: Eukaryota; Viridiplantae; Streptophyta; Magnoliopsida; Poales; Poaceae
Description: 5.8S ribosomal RNA
Rfam family: 5.8S ribosomal RNA
About the family: 5.8S ribosomal RNA (5.8S rRNA) is a component of the large subunit of the eukaryotic ribosome. It is transcribed by RNA polymerase I as part of the 45S precursor that also contains 18S and 28S rRNA. Functionally, it is thought that 5.8S rRNA may be involved in ribosome translocation.
Source: RNAcentral
GACACGACUCUCGGCAACGGAUAUCUCGGCUCUCGCAUCGAUGAAGAACGUAGCGAAAUGCGAUACCUGGUGUGAAUUGCAGAAUCCCGCGAACCAUCGAGUCUUUGAACGCAAGUUGCGCCCGAGGCCACCUGGUCGAGGGCACGCCUGCCUGGGCGUCACG